GCCAUGCCGCGUGUGUGAAGAAGGCCUUUUGGUUGUAAAGCACUUUAAGCAGUGAAGAAGACUCCAUGGUUAAUACCCAUGGACGAUGACAUUAGCUGCAGAAUAAGCACCGGCUAACUCUGUGCCAGCAGCCGCGGUAAUACAGAGGGUGCAAGCGUUAAUCGGAAUUACUGGGCGUAAAGCGAGCGUAGGUGGCUUGAUAAGUCAGAUGUGAAAUCCCCGGGCUUAACCUGGGAACUGCAUCUGAUACUGUUAGGCUAGAAUAGGUGAGAGGAARGUAGAAUUCCAGGUGUAGCGGUGAAAUGCGUAGAGAUCUGGAGGAAUACCGAUGGCGAARGCAGCYUUCUGGCAUCAUAUUGACACUGAGGUUCGAAAGCGUGGGUAGCAAACAGGAUUAGAUACCCUGGUAGUCCACGCCGUAAACGAUGUCUACUAGUCGUUGGGUCCCUUGAGGACUUAGUGACGCAGCUAACGCAAUAAGUAGACCGCCUGGGGAGUACGGCCGCAAGGUUAAAACUCAAAUGAAUUGACGGGGGCCCGCACAAGCGGUGGAGCAUGUGGUUUAAUUCGAUGCAACGCGAAGAACCUUACCUGGUCUUGACAUAUCUAGAAUCCUGCAGAGAUGCGGGAGUGCCUUCGGGAAUUAGAAUACAGGUGCUGCAUGGCUGUCGUCAGCUCGUGUCGUGAGAUGUUGGGUUAAGUCCCGCAACGAGCGCAACCCUUGUCCUUAGUUACCAGCGGGUUAAGCCGGGAACUCUAAGGAUACUGCCAGUGACAAACUGGAGGAAGGCGGGGACGACGUCAAGUCAUCAUGGCCCUUACGACCAGGGCUACACACGUGCUACAAUGGUAGGUACAGAGGGCAGCUACACAGCGAUGUGAUGCGAAUCUCAAAAAGCCUAUCGUAGUCCAGAUUGGAGUCUGCAACUCGACUCCAUGAAGUAGGAAUCGCUAGUAAUCGCGGAUCAGAAUGCCGCGGUGAAUACGUUCCCGGGCCUUGUACACACCGCCCGUCACACCAUGGGAGUUGAUUGCACCAGAAGUGGAUAGCCUAACCGUAAGGAAGGCGUUCACCACGGUGUGGUUGAUGACUGGG
Molecule: ribosomal RNA, 1096 nt
Filed under: uncultured bacterium
Lineage: Bacteria
Description: bacterial SSU rRNA
Rfam family: Bacterial small subunit ribosomal RNA
Source: RNAcentral